UACGAAGGGGGCUAGCGUUGUUCGGAUUUACUGGGCGUAAAGCGCGCGUAGGCGGACCUGCAAGUCGGGGGUGAAAGCCCGAGGCUCAACCUCGGAACUGCCUUCGAUACUGCGGGUCUCGAGUCCGGGAGAGGUGAGUGGAAUUCCUAGUGUAGAGGUGAAAUGCGCAGAUAUCAGGAAGAACACCCGUGGCUAAGGCGGCUCUCUAGUACGGUACUGACGCUGAGACGCGAAAGCGUGGGGAGCGAACAGG
Molecule: ribosomal RNA, 253 nt
Filed under: uncultured bacterium
Lineage: Bacteria
Description: partial 16S ribosomal RNA
Rfam family: Bacterial small subunit ribosomal RNA
Source: RNAcentral